Rhopilema esculentum is the source of this 3039-nucleotide non-coding RNA. The record is from RefSeq and is a predicted model, not a curated record. NCBI's taxonomy places the organism in Eukaryota, Metazoa, Cnidaria, Scyphozoa, Rhizostomeae, Rhizostomatidae.
ACGCAGAACCUGAUGGAUGAAAAAAUUACUUUGAUAAUCGUAAUCGUCUGCCAAUCAUGUGAUAAUAACAGUAUAGAUAUAUAACCAAGAUAAAAUAAUAGAACUAUUGAUUUGACUAAAGGAGAGUUUAGUUAGUAACUAGGAGUAUUUCCUUAUAUCAAUAAAAUUGCCUAGAAUCGGCACCGGUUUCAAAUAAAGAGCACCCAAUAACAAAACCCCCACUCCUACCGUAUAUUGAAAGCAAAGGGUGAGAAAAUUGACUUCGGCUAAGUGUUUUGGCUCUGAACUUUAUGAACCAAGCCAAACAAGAAGAGAUCUGUUAGCAAACUGUAUAUAUCAUCCAAUUUUUACCAUACUUACCAGAUUUUGCGAAUUCAAAGGUAUUUUCUAUGAUGUUCUUCUAGGCCAUGUGAUCUUAAUCCACACAUUCUUAAACUAGAUUUUUGUAAGGUAAUACUUGAAUCAUAUUAUGAUGACCUUGGAAGUUCAAUCGAAAAAUCAUUCAAUUCUAUGAUUUUUUUUGACUCGACUUAGGAUUUUUGAGGAAUUCAAUUCAAUCAAAUCUGGCUGGGCUGGUCACACUGGCUUGGCUUUAAACUUAAACUUACCAGUCUUCGCUUUUGGGUGGCUUUUCGGACAUCCCAACACAUUCCAUAUGGAACCAUUUGCUUCCUGGACACUAGAAAAAAGAUUGGAAAUGUAGUGAGAAACAUUUUUGAUUGGUAAACAUGAAUGCAUAUGAGUUCAUUACGAGUUGUGGGGACUAGGGGAGGGUGCUGCCUUGAGGCCAGGAAGUUUACAACACAGGCUGCAAGAAAAUUGAUGGUAACUUGACAAAGCCAUAUCAGAAGUUGAAUAUUACCUCGCAGUGUUGUUAUGAUCUGCUCUUCCAGAGCUUUCACCAGAUCUAUGUCAACAGAUGAUGGUUCACAGCAGUUUCUUUCUGUCUCAGGAAUCUUAAUUUCUGCUUCCAGAUCACCUAAGUGAAAAAAGGUUUUGAGAAUUUCACCUUUUUUACAUUUGCUUUACAUUUUAAAAGUUCACCAAAUGCUUAUUGGAAUUAUGCAAAUGGACAUUAUAGGAAGUUUAGACAUGUAGGGUCAGCAAUAGAGGGGGUUACCAGGGCAAGUGCCCAUGGGCCCAGGUCCAUUCUGGGGCCCAUAAUCAUGAAUCAUGGAAUCUUUAUUAAUUGUCAUAUUGUAGAAUCUAUAAUAAUUUUCCUAAGAUCUAUAAUCAUUGUUAAGCAAACUCAUUGCUUCCCCAAGGGCUCUGCCUUGUUGCCCAGUAGAUAUGACAUAUUGUUUGUGUUGAUUAUCGAUGGAAAGAGAGUCAUACUUUGCAAAGAAUGAAUGUCAUAAGUCACUGAAGAUGCCAAGAGAGCUUAUGGAGAGACUUUGAAAUAAGAUAGAUUUGAAUCUUUGUCUUGGUGAAAAUGUAUCCUGUAAAAUGAGAAACUCCAAACCUUCAUUCAUCCACUCUUGUAAGGCUGUUGACAGCAUUGACUUUGGAAUUUUGUGUCCUUUGGAAAGUUUUGGAAACUGUAUAAGUUCUUUAUAUCCCAAUGGUGUAUUUAACUGUUACCAUUAUGAAAAAAUAGCAUUGCAAAAAUUAUGGCUGGUGUAUGUUUGUAUUUCGCUAUCAAUUUUCAGAGCAGAGACAAUGAAGAAAUAAAAUUUUAAAACAUAUGGUGCCAGACUGCAAUUACUGAGAGUUUAUAUUUCAGGUGUGUUUGUCAAUGUGGUAAUUUGUAUGUCAUUAUCUUCACAUAAGAACACAAGAAAAUGAAUUUUUUGAUGAUUUUUUGAAGUGAAAGUUUUCUCUACGUUGCAAUUCUAAACAUCUUUUGAAAAUAGCUAUGCUUCAGAACUUUUUCCAUUUUAAGUUUAAGGCAUGGCUAUCAGGAUAGGGGCACUGGGCAGGCCUCGCUCCUGAAUAUUAAUUUUUAAUUGUAAGGCAAAACCUUAAGACAACUUCUUUGUCCUAUGUCUUAUAUAAUUUAUUUUCACAUAAUUCUCUUCUAUAGAUACCUUUUUUUGGCUCUGUCCUUUCUGCUGACCUGUUGCGCUGUUCUGCUAUCGUGCACUCAAAAUUUUCUUUAGAAAAGUAAAUGGGGCAGCCAAUUGCAUUUUCGCAGAUCCCCUUGACUUCUCUCUCAAAAUCCUUGGAAAAUAGAUACUUUAAUUAGGCAAUAAUUGAUUCACUUAAGAAUUGCAUCUUUGUACAUUUAGAUAUAUCCUCAUAUUUUGUGUACAGGCUUGUUUGGUUUGUAGCUGACUACCUUUCCAUGUUUAUGAGAGGAUUCUCUAGGCUAAUGUUUAUAAGUUCAAUAAAAGAGAAGGAAGAGGCUGGAAGAUAUCCAUUGCAUACUGUGAUCAUUUGCAUAUUCAUUUUGGCCACUCACUUUCUUGAAUAUAAUAAAAGCUCAUUUUAAAAUCAAUUGAUCUACAGACAACUAAGUAGUGCUUUCUGAAGUGAAAAUUACCUCUUUCCUAAUAUCAAUGAAUUCCUCUCUGAAAACCACUGCCUUUACUGCCACUGCAGACACAUACUUGUUUGUAUGCUUCAUCUUCACAGAAGUGUUCCAGUUUAGCCAUGAGAGGGCCUGAUAAAAGAUUAACUACUUUUACACACCUAUACUGGUUUGCAGAUUUAAAGUGAAGUAGCUUGACAUGUACUCAGCCCCUCCAAGUGAUUCAGAGGCUCUGGGAAAUUUGAAGACAAAAUGACGCCACAGCAUUUUGAUACACCCAUGCCCCGCUUCACCGAGCCUUGUUGCAACUUCUCAUGCAUCUGGAGCAAGGUUUCUGCCUGUAGCUCAUUAUUUUUUGUAUCAUUUAUGUUCAAGAUCAUUGUCGACCUUCUACAGAUCUCUUGAUAUGAAAGCCUGUCACAAAUAGAAAGGUUUUCAAGAAAAUGGUAAAGAACAUGGCUUUCAUUUUGAAAUAUGAAUAACUCAACAACCUGCAGAACUAUCUACAUUCCUAAAACAAUUUCUUAAUUUUUUAUGAUGAAACAAUUUCUUAAUUUUUAUUUGUUCAA